Molecule: ribosomal RNA, 433 nt
Filed under: uncultured bacterium
Lineage: Bacteria
Description: partial 16S ribosomal RNA
Rfam family: Bacterial small subunit ribosomal RNA
Source: RNAcentral
AACGAACGCUGGCGGCAUGCCUAACACAUGCAAGUCGAACGAGACCUUCGGGUCUAGUGGCGCACGGGUGCGUAACGCGUGGGAACCUGCCCUUAGGUUCGGAAUAACUCCCCGACAGGGGUGCUAAUACCGGAUAGUGUCUUCGGACCAAAGAUUUAUCGCCUUUGGAUGGGCCCGCGUUGGAUUCGCUAGUUGGUAGGGUAAAAGCCUACCAAGGCGACGAUCCAUAGCUGGUCUGAGAGGAUGAUCAGCCACACUGGGACUGAGACACGGCCCAGAAUCCUACGGGAGGCAGGAGUGGGGAAUAUUGGACAAUGGGCGAAAGCCUGAUCCAGCAAUGCCGCGUGAGUGAUGAAGGCCUUAGGGUUGUAAAGCUCUUUUACCCGGGAUGAUAAUGACAGUACCGGGAGAAUAAGCUCCGGCUAACUCCGUG